RNAcentral lists this ribosomal RNA (320 nucleotides) under uncultured bacterium. Its description in RNAcentral is "partial 16S ribosomal RNA". The record is from RNAcentral.
CAAGGCCCGGGAACGUAUUCACCGCGGCGUGCUGAUCCGCGAUUACUAGCGAUUCCAGCUUCGUGCAGGCGAGUUGCAGCCUGCAGUCCGAACUGAGAACAGCUUUAAGAGAUCCGCUUACCCUCGCGGGUUUGCUUCUCGUUGUACUGCCCAUUGUAGCACGUGUGUAGCCCAGGUCAUAAGGGGCAUGAUGACUUGACGUCAUCCCCACCUUCCUCCGGUUUGUCACCGGCAGUCUCUUUAGAGUGCCCAACUUAAUGAUGGCAACUAAAGACAAGGGUUGCGCUCGUUGCGGGACUUAACCCAACAUCUCACGACAC